Long non-coding RNA from Oryzias latipes (Japanese medaka), 636 nucleotides. RefSeq lists it as uncharacterized. The record is from RefSeq and is a predicted model, not a curated record. Lineage: Eukaryota; Metazoa; Chordata; Actinopteri; Beloniformes; Adrianichthyidae.
CAUGUGUUGACAUUCUUUUGACUGUAGCUCCUUAACCUUAAAUUAACGUAUUUCCAGUGAAUUCUAAAGCAGAUAAAAGUGUUGCAUAACGUUAAAUGUUGCAUAAGCCACAAAACCGAUAUAAAAUGCUGCUUUUCUGUCUGUCAAAUUUUAAUGUCAAGUUUACAAAUAAUAAUGAGCUGUGAGCUGCAAUGAAUAUGUCACGGUGGCCUCUGUCAGUGCUCCUCCCCCUCCCCUCUCACUGUGCACCUGAUGAUUGGAACCAGCUGUGGACACUCUGCUCAUCACCUCACCGCCUUCUUAAGGGGAUCCAGACCUGCAGUCAUCGCCAGUCCGUUGCCUACCUCGGUUUCCAGAUCCACGAGUGUCCACCUGGGAGAUCUUCAGCUCGCUCCACACCAGCCUCGCCUCGAAGUCACGCCACGUUCCUCGCUCACCUCGGUUCCCAAGACAUCAGACAGUGCGCGGCGACCCGCACCGCACGUCUCGCUCCGCUCCAGCCACGCCACGCUCUCAGCUCAGCCCUCAAGCUCCUACGAGCCACGCCGACUCUUCGCCAGAGAUCCAAGCCAGCACUAAGUACCACCAGAACUGUUAUCUCCUGCCUGGAUAUUAAAGACUCUUUGUUAAUCGCCA